AUGUUUUUCUGUUCAUCUAGUAUGCUAGACUCUUGCAUGCUAACUAUUGUUAUAGUCAUGAAUUACUUACUGCAAUUAAUCGCAGAAUUGUUUAAUAUUCUAACAUCUUCUCCAUGCCGCCUUGGUCCCCUCAUUUCCUUCGUCUGGUGGCCUCACCGGAGGCAAGAGGACUGGAGACCUAUAUGUUUUUUUUCUUUUGCUUGGGUUUAUUUCCCUGACGACAUCGAUGAGGUGGUGGCGACUGUGGCCUAUUGGAAUAAGGUCUCCUCAUGCCUCGACGACAUCCAAUCCGACGCUGACGAAUGGCCUAUGAGAGUUUGUGUCCCCAUGUCUGUUGGCUCUCUUCAUAUAUUGGCGGUCUAUUAA
This 366-nucleotide ribosomal RNA is filed under the name Triticum aestivum (bread wheat). RNAcentral's name for it is "partial small subunit ribosomal RNA". The record is from RNAcentral. Lineage: Eukaryota; Viridiplantae; Streptophyta; Magnoliopsida; Poales; Poaceae.